UAAGUAAGUGGUGGAAAUUAAACCAAAUGGGAUAUCUUUAGUGAUUGCGAAUGAACAAGGAUAUGCUUAGCUUGACAAAUGGAGCUAUUGGCUUUGAAUUGUAUUUGUGGAAUGUAUUACCAACAGAGGUGCAGGUGCCAGCCUAUUAAAUAAAGCGUCAAUGAGGGUGAGAAUCCUGUUUGUCAUGUGCAGCCCUUUGUGCACGGUGUAUAUUUGCUGAGUCACACUCCUUGGCAUUGGAAUGCAAAGUGGGUGGUAAGUUUCAUGUACAGGUAAACAUGCAAUUGAGACUGAUAGCACACAAGUACCAUGAGGGAAAUAUGAAAAGGACUCUGAAAAGAGAAUUAAAUGAGUUUGUAUUUGCUGAACACAAAGUAAACAGACUUGAUUUGCUUGGUGGGAGUGUUGCACUUGCUUGACAAGAGCUUUGGGCUGUGGGUGUAAUGAUUCUUUCUUUGCAUGCCAGUUUCUAUGUGUACAUCUGAUUACCUUUGCACAUGAAUGAUAAGCCUCCUGUGGGGGGUGGAUUGCAUGUGCAUGUAAUGAUUUGUGUUUUGAUAAAUGUGUCUGGUGUAUGUGUGUGUGUUCCUGUGCUUGGGGAUGCUUCCUUCCUUGGACUUACAAGCCCUGACACACACAUGCUGGCAAAAUGCUUCUGCUUGACCCG
RNAcentral lists this ribosomal RNA (667 nucleotides) under Alexandrium tamarense. RNAcentral's name for it is "eukaryotic LSU rRNA". It matches the Rfam family "Eukaryotic large subunit ribosomal RNA", at positions 43 to 651 of the family's 3401-position model. The record is from RNAcentral. Lineage: Eukaryota; Dinophyceae; Gonyaulacales; Pyrocystaceae.